UGGGGAAUAUUGCACAAUGGGGGAAACCCUGAUGCAGCGACGCCGCGUGAGCGAUGAAGUAUUUCGGUAUGUAAAGCUCUAUCAGCAGGGAAGAUAAUGACGGUACCUGACUAAGAAGCUCCGGCUAAAUACGUGCCAGCAGCCGCGGUAAUACGUAUGGAGCAAGCGUUAUCCGGAUUUACUGGGUGUAAAGGGAGCGUAGGCGGUCCUGCAAGUCUGAUGUGAAAACCCGGGGCUCAACCCCGGGACUGCAUUGGAAACUGUAGGACUAGAGUGUCGGAGGGGUAAGUGGAAUUCCUAGUGUAGCGGUGAAAUGCGUAGAUAUUAGGGGGAACACCAGUGGCGAAGGCGGCUUACUGGACGACCACUGACGCUGAGGCUCGAAAGCGUGGGGAGCAAACAGG
Molecule: ribosomal RNA, 404 nt
Filed under: Acidobacteriota bacterium
Lineage: Bacteria; Pseudomonadati; Acidobacteriota
Description: Acidobacteria bacterium partial 16S ribosomal RNA
Rfam family: Bacterial small subunit ribosomal RNA
Source: RNAcentral